Molecule: long non-coding RNA, 239 nt
Organism: Nanorana parkeri
Lineage: Eukaryota; Metazoa; Chordata; Amphibia; Anura; Dicroglossidae
Exons: 3
Source: RefSeq, a predicted model, not a curated record
CUGGAGAUCAUCUACCUGCUGACUGGACAGGAAUGUAUUAUAGUGAAGAAGCCUUCUGAUGAUCACAUGACUCCCGUGACACAAAGAUGGAGCAAGAUGCAGAGCUCCAUGACAGAACCUCCAACGUACUCCCUAAUAUCCGAAAUAAACAAUGACAAGAAGAUUCUAGAAAUCACCAGAAGGAUCACUGAGCUGCUAAAGGGAGAGGUUCCUAUAAGGUGUCAGGAUGUCUCUGUCUA